GCCGCUGUAACCCAGAUGGUAGAGGCGUCGCCAGUAGGUACAGAUGGCGAAGGUUGCUGGUUCGAAUCCAGCCUGUGGUG
Molecule: non-coding RNA, 80 nt
Organism: Phthorimaea operculella (potato tuberworm)
Lineage: Eukaryota; Metazoa; Arthropoda; Insecta; Lepidoptera; Gelechiidae
Source: the annotation of a GenBank genome assembly